AGCAGCCGCGGUAAUUCCAGCUCCAAUAGCGUAUAUUAAAGUUGUUGCAGUUAAAAAGCUCGUAGUUGAAUUUCGGGGUUAGUAGGUUGGUCAUACCUCUGGUAUGUACUGGUCUCACUGAUUCCUCCUUCCUGAUGAACCUUAAUGCCAUUAAUUUGGUGUUUUGGGGAAUUUGGACUGUUACUUUGAAAAAAUUAGAGUGUUUAAAGUAAGCUAACGCUUGAAUACAUUAGCAUGGAAUAAUGAAAUAGGACGUUCGAUCCUAUUUUGUUGGUUUCUAGGAUUGACGUAAUGAUUAAUAGGGAUAGUUGGGGGCAUUAGUAUUCAAUUGUCAGAGGUGAAAUUCUUGGAUUUAUUGAAGACUAACUACUGCGAAAGCAUUUGCCAAGGAUGUUUUCAUUAAUCAAGAACGAAAGUUAGGGGAUCGAAGACGAUCAGAUACCGUCGUAGUCUUAACCAUAAACUAUGCCGACUAGGGAUCGGAUGAUGUUAAUUUUUUAAUGACUC
RNAcentral lists this ribosomal RNA (507 nucleotides) under uncultured Glomeromycotina. RNAcentral's name for it is "SSU rRNA". It matches the Rfam family "Eukaryotic small subunit ribosomal RNA", at positions 569 to 1077 of the family's 1831-position model. Lineage: Eukaryota; Fungi; Glomeromycota. The record is from RNAcentral.